RNAcentral lists this unclassified non-coding RNA (328 nucleotides) under soil metagenome. RNAcentral's name for it is "partial contains 5.8S ribosomal RNA, internal transcribed spacer 2, and large subunit ribosomal RNA". The stretch from base 1 to 120 matches the Rfam family "5.8S ribosomal RNA", at positions 35 to 154 of the family's 154-position model. The record is from RNAcentral.
GAUGAAGAACGCAGCAAAAUGCGAUAAGUAGUGUGAAUUGCAGAAUUCAGUGAAUCAUCGAAUCUUUGAACGCACAUUGCGCCCCUUGGUAUCCCGAGGGGCAUGCCUGUUCGAGCGUCAUUUCACCACUCAAGCCUGGCUUGGUGUUGGGCGACGUCCCCUUUAGGGACGCGCCUCGAAACGCUCGGCGGCGCGGCACCGGCUUUAAGCGUAGCAGAAUCUUUCGCUUUGGAAGUCGGGGCCCCGCCUGCCGGAAUACCUACUUGUAAGGUUGACCUCGGAUCAGGCAGGGAUACCCGCUGAACUUAAGCAUAUCAUAAGCGGAGGA